Molecule: ribosomal RNA, 720 nt
Filed under: Anaerolineaceae bacterium UBA6133
Lineage: Bacteria; Bacillati; Chloroflexota; Anaerolineae; Anaerolineales; Anaerolineaceae
Description: bacterial LSU rRNA
Rfam family: Bacterial large subunit ribosomal RNA
Source: RNAcentral
CUGAUGAACUCUAGACCCUAACUUCAUUCCGUGAUCCGGAUGAAGGACCGUACCAGGUGGGCAGUUUGACUGGGGCGGUCACCUCCUAAAGAGUAACGGAGGUGCCCAAAGGUUCCCUCAGGCUGAAUGGAAACCAGCCUAAGAGUGUAAAGGCAUAAGGGAGCUUGACUGCAAGGCCAACGCGCCGAGCAGAUACGAAAGUAGGGCUUAGUGAUCCCACGGUUCCGAGUGGAAGGGCCGUGGCUCAUCGGAUAAAAGCUACCCCGGGGAUAACAGGCUAGUCAGGUCCAAGAGUCCAUAUCGACGACCUGGCUCGGCACCUCGAUGUCGGCUCAUCGCAUCCUGGGGCUGGAUAAGGUCCCAAGGGUUGGGCUGUUCGCCCAUUAAAGCGGUACGCGAGCUGGGUUCAGACCGUCGUGAGACAGGUCGGUCUCUAUCCACUGUGGGCGUAAGUGAUUUGAAAGGAGCUGUUCCUAGUACGAGAGGACCGGAAUGGACAGACCUCUGGUGUGCCAGCUGUCGUGCCAACGGCAUAGCUGGGUAGCUACGUCUGGCAGAGAUAACCGCUGAAAGCAUCUAAGUGGGAAACUCGCCUUAAGAUUAGAUCACUUUUAUCGCAAGAUAGUAAGAUCGCAGGUAGACUACCUGCUUGAUAGGCAGUAUGUGUAAGCGCAGCAAUGCGUUGAGCUAAACUGUACUAAUGAUCGAGGGCUUCAAACG